AUGUGUCACACACAUAGUCAUUCGUGUCACACACGCACACUCAUUUGUGUGUCACACUCAUGUACACACACAUUCGUGUGUCACACAUUGUCAUUUGUGUCACACACUCAUUUGUGUGUCACUCAUGUACACAUUUGUGUCACAGUCAUCCGUGUCACACUCAUGUACACACACAUUCGUGUGUCAGUCAUUCAUGUGUCACUCAUUUGUGUCACUCAUGUACACACACUCAUUUGUCACACAUAUAUACACACAUCCAUGUGUCACACACAGUCAUUCAUGUGUCACGCACACACACUCAUUUGUGUCACACUCAUGCACACACUCAUUCGUGUCACAUACACACAGUCAUUCAUGUGUCACACACACUCAUUUGUGUCACACUCGUACACACAUUCAUGUGUCACAUUCAGUCAUCCGUGUCACACACUCACUCAUUUGUGUUUCACACUCAUGUGCAUACACUCAUUCGGGUCACACACUCAUUUGUGUCACACUCAUGUACACACAUUCAUGUGUCACAUUCAGUCAUCCGUGUGUCACACACUCACUCAUUUGUGUCUCACACUCAUGUGCACACACUCAUUCGGGUCACACAGUCAUUCAUGUGUCACACUCAUGUACACAUUCAUGUGUCACACAUUCAGUCAUCCAUGUGUCACACACGCACUCAUUUGUGUCACACUCGUGCACACACUCAUUCGUGUCAAACAGUCAUUCAUGUGUCACACACACUCAUUUGUGUGUCACACUCAUGUACACACAUUCAUGUGUCACAUUCAGUCAUCCGUGUGUCACACACAGUCAUUCAUGUGUCACACACGCACACACACUCAUUCGUGUCACAUACUCACAGUCAUUCAUGUGUCACACAUGCACACACACACAGAGCUGGGACGCCCAGGCCCCAAAGCCGGAGGUCCUGGGUUCCGGUGCGGCCUCAGACACUCCCCAGCUCAGGGAUGGCCACGUUGCGUAGCCCCCAGCCCGGACCACUCUGUUGCCUCGGCACCAUCCCACAGCACUGAUGCUAAGGCGGAAGCUAAGGAUGACAUUUUGGGGUUU
This 1065-nucleotide long non-coding RNA is filed under the name Monodelphis domestica (gray short-tailed opossum). RNAcentral's name for it is "lncRNA (ENSMODG00000049754.1)". The record is from RNAcentral. Lineage: Eukaryota; Metazoa; Chordata; Mammalia; Didelphimorphia; Didelphidae.